This 164-nucleotide non-coding RNA is filed under the name bovine gut metagenome. RNAcentral's name for it is "malK-I RNA". It matches the Rfam family "malK-I RNA". The record is from RNAcentral.
CAGUUUCACUCCACUCUAUGGACUGCGCAAAGAACAAAGGAGGGUGAUUCCAGCCGCGUGGCUUGCGGUGCGGCAGUGUGGAGACCUGUCGUAAUGCACCGGGUCCCCUGCGGGCGGGUGCGAGGCAAAUGCGGGUGGGCCGCUUUGCCAGAGCCAAGAGUAUG